AGUGAACGCUGGCGGUAGGCCUAACACAUGCAAGUCGAACGGCAGCACCGUAAGAGCUUGCUCUUACGGGUGGCGAGUGGCGGAUGGGUGAGGAAUACAUCGGAUUUUACUUUUUCGUGGGGGUUAACGUCGGGAAACUUUCGCUAAUACCGCCUAUGUCCUCCGGGUGAAAGCAGGGGAUCUUCUGACCUUGCGCGAUUGAAUGAGCCGAUGUCGGAUUAGCUAGUUGGCGGGGUAAAGGCCCACCAAGGCGACGAUCCGUGGCUGGACUGAGAGGAUGGUCGGCGGCACUGGAACUGGGACGCGGUCCAGGCUCCUGCGGGAGGCAGCAGUGGGGAAUAUUGGACAAUAGGCGCAAGCCUUAUCCAGCCAUACCGCGUGUGUGGAGGAGGCCUUCGGGUUGUAAAGCCCUUUUGUGGGGAAAGAAAAGCAGCAAGUUAAGACCCCGCUGGUCCGACGGUACCCAAAGAAUAAGCACCGGCUAACUUCGUG
RNAcentral lists this ribosomal RNA (492 nucleotides) under uncultured bacterium. RNAcentral describes it as "partial 16S ribosomal RNA". It matches the Rfam family "Bacterial small subunit ribosomal RNA", at positions 29 to 507 of the family's 1533-position model. The record is from RNAcentral.